UGAACGCGCUGGUUCCACGCGUCACCAUGGAGACCAUGAGACAUCCUAUCACGUGACGUAUUAGCACGUGAUCACUCGUUCUUCCUGCUUCCGCAUCACGUUCACAGGGAGCUGCCUUUCGUUCCGAGACUCCAGAGUUCAGAAUGGACACGCAGCAAGUGCGCCACCGGACAUCGCCGGAAAAAGAAGAGGACUCCCCCAGAACCGGGCCAGACGCCUCGGAGCUGGCAGAGCGGAGGAGGGAGGCUCAGGGCUGUUUACAGGCUUUAUCCCAGCACUCGUACUGGUUUGAUUUGUGGAUCUUCCUGCUGUUUGACCUGGUUCUCUUUAUCUUCGUGUACCUGCUUCCGUGAGCGAGUAUAUUUUUGAACAUUCCAAAGAACACCAUGAAAACAAAAUAUUCUACAGGAUUCCUGGCAAUCUGUUUUCUUGCUUACGAUAGAGAUGACACUUACCAGACUGCGGCAUCAAUUUACUGCAAGAUUGAUUGGCCAGGAAGUGUGGAGGUUGAAGGACUAAUUUAUCUCUCAAGUGUCUUCUGAAAUAUUUAUUUCUGUAAUAAUUAUUCUUUUUUCUAAUUAUUGUACGAAAAUGCCUGAAUCCAAGCUGUAUGGAGAUCUCACCUCAAAGGUUGACAUAUACAGCUGCAACAUAAUGUAUUGAUGGAAUUUCUUUGGCCAUUAAAAUGCAUCCAUGAUAUUUCCAUAAAAAUAUUUAUAAGGAUCAUCACUCAUGCCAGUUUUACUUUAUUUUCACUCAUCUUUCUUAACCAAAGAACAUCUGUUGGAUAUGUAGAUUUAUUAAAUACUUGGUAUUUU
Spea bombifrons (plains spadefoot toad) is the source of this 818-nucleotide long non-coding RNA. RefSeq lists it as uncharacterized. NCBI's taxonomy places the organism in Eukaryota, Metazoa, Chordata, Amphibia, Anura, Pelobatidae. The transcript has 2 exons. The record is from RefSeq and is a predicted model, not a curated record.